CCUACGGGCGGCAGCAGUGGGGAAUAUUGGACAAUGGGGGCAACCCUGAUCCAGCCAUGCCGCGUGUGUGAAGAAGGCCCUCGGGGUGUAAAGCACUUUCAGUGAGGAAGAACGCCUGGUGGUUAAUACCCAUCAGGAAAGACAUCACCCACAGAAGAAGCACCGGCUAACUCCGUGCCAGCAGCCGCGGUAAUACGGAGGGUGCGAGCGUUAAUCGGAAUUACUGGGCGUAAAGCGCGCGUAGGUGGCUUGAUAAGCCGGUUGUGAAAGCCCCGGGCUCAACCGGGGAACGGCAUCCGGAACUGUCAAGCUAGAGUGCAGGAGAGGAAGGUAGAAUUCCCGGUGUAGCGGUGAAAUGCGUAGAGAUCGGGAGGAAUACCAGUGGCGAAGGCGGCCUUCUGGACUGACACUGACACUGAGGUGCGAAAGCGUGGGUAGCAAACUGGAUUAGAUACCCCUGUAGUC
RNAcentral lists this ribosomal RNA (465 nucleotides) under Vreelandella stevensii. Its description in RNAcentral is "partial 16S ribosomal RNA". It matches the Rfam family "Bacterial small subunit ribosomal RNA", at positions 338 to 795 of the family's 1533-position model. Lineage: Bacteria; Pseudomonadati; Pseudomonadota; Gammaproteobacteria; Oceanospirillales; Halomonadaceae. The record is from RNAcentral.